RNAcentral lists this ribosomal RNA (579 nucleotides) under uncultured bacterium. RNAcentral's name for it is "partial 16S ribosomal RNA". It matches the Rfam family "Bacterial small subunit ribosomal RNA", at positions 355 to 932 of the family's 1533-position model. The record is from RNAcentral.
UGGGGAAUUUUGGACAAUGGGCGAAAGCCUGAUCCAGCAAUGCCGCGUGUGUGAAGAAGGCCUUCGGGUUGUAAAGCACUUUUGUCCGGAAAGAAAUCCUUGGCUCUAAUACAGUCGGGGGAUGACGGUACCGGAAGAAUAAGCACCGGCUAACUACGUGCCAGCAGCCGCGGUAAUACGUAGGGUGCAAGCGUUAAUCGGAAUUACUGGGCGUAAAGCGUGCGCAGGCGGUUUGCUAAGGCCGAUGUGAAAUCCCCGGGCUCAACCUGGGAACUGCAUUGGUGACUGGCAGGCUAGAGUAUGGCAGAGGGGGGUAGAAUUCCACGUGUAGCAGUGAAAUGCGUAGAGAUGUGGAGGAAUACCGAUGGCGAAGGCAGCCCCCUGGGCCAAUACUGACGCUCAUGCACGAAAGCGUGGGGAGCAAAACAGGAUUAGAUACCCUGGUAGUCCACGCCCUAAACGAUGUCAACUAGUUGUUGGGAUUCAUUUCCUUAGUAACGUAGCUAACGCGUGAAGUUGACCGCCUGGGGAGUACGGUCGCAAGAUUAAAACUUAAAUGAAUUGACGGGGUCAUAGCUG